GUGAGGAAUAUUGGUCAAUGGACGCAAGUCUGAACCAGCCAAGUCGCGUGAAGGAUGACUGCCCUAUGGGUUGUAAACUUCUUUUAUAAGGGAAUAAAGUUCGCCACGUGUGGUGAUUUGUAUGUACUUUACGAAUAAGGAUCGGCUAACUCCGUGCCAGCAGCCGCGGUAAUACGGAGGAUCCGAGCGUUAUCCGGAUUUAUUGGGUUUAAAGGGUGCGUAGGCGGACUUAUAAGUCAGCGGUGAAAGUUUGCAGCUUAACUGUAAAAUUGCCGUUGAAACUGUUAGUCUUGAGUGUAAAUGAGGUAGGCGGAAUGUGUUGUGUAGCGGUGAAAUGCUUAGAUAUAACACAGAACACCAAUUGCGAAGGCAGCUUACUGGGAUACAACUGACGCUGAGGCACGAAAGCGUGGGGAUCAAACAGGAUUAGAAACCCCGGUAGUCC
This 445-nucleotide ribosomal RNA is filed under the name uncultured bacterium. Its description in RNAcentral is "partial 16S ribosomal RNA". It matches the Rfam family "Bacterial small subunit ribosomal RNA", at positions 354 to 796 of the family's 1533-position model. The record is from RNAcentral.